CCUCUCCCUUCUCCUCCCCAUUCUCGGCCUCCCCUUUCUCUCUCUAUACUCUCUUUUCCUCCAUUGAUGUCUAUUGAAGAAAGCUUAGAGAAGCUUCAUCAAACACUACUAUGAGAUAAUCCACCAUCCAAUCCAAUCAAAUACUAUCAUAUCUCAUCAAAUUCAAGAAGCAUGAGCUAAGAUCAAAGUUGGAGCAAAGUCUUGAUCACCGUUUAAAUCCUUGAGAUAUGCGGAGGGGAGUAUGGUGCGGUGCUGGUGGGGAAUGUUUCGGGUUGACGUUUUCUUUCUCUAUCGUAUGACUGUUUUGUCGAUAGAGUUUUGAUAUGAAGUUAUGUUAUAUUAAAUCAAGCAGUUGACUCACGAUUAUGUGUCUUCAUACAUAUAGUCGGUUCACCUUUUGUUAUCACACUCUGAAUAUUAUGACUCUACAUAAAAAUUGAGUUACACUUGUUUUGCUUUUCA
Salvia miltiorrhiza (redroot sage) is the source of this 462-nucleotide long non-coding RNA. RefSeq lists it as uncharacterized. The transcript has 2 exons. The record is from RefSeq and is a predicted model, not a curated record. NCBI's taxonomy places the organism in Eukaryota, Viridiplantae, Streptophyta, Magnoliopsida, Lamiales, Lamiaceae.